This 497-nucleotide ribosomal RNA is filed under the name uncultured bacterium. RNAcentral describes it as "partial 16S ribosomal RNA". It matches the Rfam family "Bacterial small subunit ribosomal RNA", at positions 28 to 507 of the family's 1533-position model. The record is from RNAcentral.
GAUGAACGCUGGCGGCGUGCCUAAUACAUGCAAGUCGAGCGAACAGACGAGGAGCUUGCUCCUCUGACGUUAGCGGCGGACGGGUGAGUAACACGUGGAUAACCUACCUAUAAGACUGGGAUAACUUCGGGAAACCGGAGCUAAUACCGGAUAAUAUAUUGAACCGCAUGGUUCAAUAGUUAAAGACGGUUUUGCUGUCACUUAUAGAUGGAUCCGCGCCGCAUUAGCUAGUUGGUAAGGUAACGGCUUACCAAGGCAACGAUGCGUAGCCGACCUGAGAGGGUGAUCGGCAACACUGGAAAUGAGACACGGUCCAGACUCCUACGGGAGGCAGCAGUAGGGAAUCUUCCGCAAUGGGCGAAAGCCUGACGGAGCAACGCCGCGUGAGUGAUGAAGGUCUUCGGAUCGUAAAACUCUGUUAUUAGGGAAGAACAAAUGUGUAAGUAACUAUGCACGUCUUGACGGUACCUAAUCAGAAAGCCACGGCUAACUACGUG